AUUCAUAUCAUGAUGCUUACAUAAAACAAAUUCUCACAUCUAACCAUAAAACUUAAUCACUAGAUUUUUCUUCUCCCUUUGAAACCCUAGCGUAGCUCUUAUACCUUUCACAUCUUUCAUCCUUUUCAUAUCUCAUCGUGCUAAAUCUCAUAACAUGACUUACCUUUUUUUGGAUAUGUAAACCAAAAUCUUCAAUCAUUGAGAUCAAUAUGAACAUCAACUUGCGCUUGAUCGAGAGAUUCUAAAGAUGAAGAUUCAAGAAAUUAAAGGUGUGGAAGCAACAAAGGAAGAUGAAACUAACUUUGCUUUGUGGGAGGCAAUUAGAGAUAUGGAUGCAAACAAGCACCAGAAGCAUGAUGAGGGAUUAGAUUGUCUACCAGACGAACUUCUUCAAGAGAUUAAAUUCUAUAUGUAUGAUUAAAUUCUACAAAUUUAGGUUUGGAUGCAUUAAUUUUGUACAUUGUGGUUUUCGUGGUUCAUAAAGAUUAAAACAAGUUAGGUUUUGAUCAUAUAAACUUAGAGUUAGUUUUGGACAGAAGUUUUAAUGGUCUGCGUCAUUGAAAUAAAAGUUUAAGGCCUAGUGAAAUUGUAUUAUAAA
Molecule: long non-coding RNA, 598 nt
Organism: Glycine soja
Lineage: Eukaryota; Viridiplantae; Streptophyta; Magnoliopsida; Fabales; Fabaceae
Exons: 3
Source: RefSeq, a predicted model, not a curated record